Molecule: long non-coding RNA, 1484 nt
Organism: Sapajus apella (tufted capuchin)
Lineage: Eukaryota; Metazoa; Chordata; Mammalia; Primates; Cebidae
Exons: 2
Source: RefSeq, a predicted model, not a curated record
UACACUACAGCCUGGGUGACAAGAGUGAAACCAUCUCAAAAUGAACAGAAAAGAAAAGAAAAGACACAUUAACUCCUGAUUUAAGCAACAAAUGAAUUGGUUGUGAUUCUCACUUGUUAAACAAAGAAGACUCACCAUAGGAUUACUUUAUGUCAUUUAGAAAAAGACAUUUUUAAUUUUUUUUCUGGAAAUGUACCAUAGAACCCAACAAGUGGUAUACUAAAUUAGUACUAGUCUUCAAAAUAUAUGUAGUCUCAUUAAUGUAUUGAUUUCAGAAAAAUUAUGUCAGCAACUUAGGUCUUUGCAUGUGAUGUAACAAUUAGUUUUCCGCUAGGCUGAUAGAAGAAAGUAAAGAGAGGCAAGAAUUUGUUUCCCAAAUUAUUGUGCUUAGUUUUUUGUUGUUGUUUAACCCCUUUUUCCAUCCCCAUCUCUCAACCUGAAGAAGAGGUGAAAGGAAUAGGAGGAAGAAGGAAGCAAUCAACUGUUUGGUAGAAUAAGAUAAGAAAUUCUUUGAGGGUGCAAAAUUAUUUCUGGGUAGUUCUGAACUUGGUUUCCUCAGAGAAUUAUGUGGUGGAUAUUGGCCGUGGCACAAGCCUAUGUUGGAUUACUUUGCUUAAAGUUUUUAGCCAGUCAUUUGAGUUUUACCACGGCGUGGGAUACUGAGAGGUAGUGGGAGGGAGGAUGUACUCCUCUCCACUUACCUGCACCGGGCCAGCCAAUCAACCUCUUCACACUCUGGGUCCCUGUCUGAACAGAGGACUUCCAUUUGUCAAUACAGAUAAUUCCUCUGGGUGUAACCUUAGCCUACACUUUAAUUUUAACUUUAACAAUUUUGUUUUUUCUGAGAGCUGCAACCACGGCACAUCUUAUCCAACAGGAGCCAUUCCUACACAUUCAUUUAAUACAAACUCAUAAUACAAAAAUCAGUGUGUUAAGUAAAGCCAUUCCUUAUGAAGAAAAGUAAAUGCCUCUGAUAAAAUAAUAUUUCACCCUCACACAUCGCCAUAUUAUGAAGAGAAAAUGUACUCAAACAGAAGAGUUAAAUACCAAUAUUAUGUGGUAUGGGAUUUAGUACAGUAGUAGCAAUGAAAGAAGAAGACAGUACAGGCCAGAAAAAUCAAGGAAAAAGAAGGCUUCGAGUAAGAAUGACUUUGAGUUGCAGUAACCUUAUGUGGGUUAACUGGUUUUGCUUCUUGUGGCUGUAUUGAUGGAGUUAAAGAAUCAGCCCUUUUUUCUUGAGUACUUUACAUUUUUGUGCAUUAUCUUUAGGCUAUGGUUCUUGAUGUUGAAAGAAAUAUGAUGUCUUCAAGGCUUCUCUCUAGGAUGCCAAAGAGUGGCGCCUUGGGUAUAGGAAGAGAGCAUGUGUUAGAUCUGCUGGAGUGUGUGUAAUAGAGGUAGUUGGAGCUGGAGUGUACUGAUUCUUUACUUUUUGUCAGUUCUUGGCAUGCAUUAUUGACAGUGGAGAUUGAAUAGUUUGGAGUUGG